CUUUCGAUCCUCACAGGUCACACCAGCGCUAUUUUAAUUCUCAAGCUUUAAUUUAUUAAAAAUUUUCACUUAAAUAUUCUCAAUUAUUCUAAUUAAAUUCCACAAUGUAUUUUAAUUGAGAGUCCAGCUACUAUACUAUCGAUAAUACCAAAUACUUGAUGUUAUCUAGUUUUUUGCUGUUACAUCUAUAUUUUUUAUUAUUUUUAUCUAUUAGAUCAUACUAUUUAACCAAUCAUCCCGUCAACCCUAGAAGACUACUAUUAUCCUAACUGCACGCCGAAAACUUAAUAGUACAAAUGACCUAGUGCUAUUAAUAGUACAAUAGCCUAGUUCU
RNAcentral lists this long non-coding RNA (334 nucleotides) under Ananas comosus (pineapple). RNAcentral's name for it is "long non-coding RNA (ACOM_LNC020656)". The record is from RNAcentral. Lineage: Eukaryota; Viridiplantae; Streptophyta; Magnoliopsida; Poales; Bromeliaceae.